GCGCCUCCUCGGAGGGCCUGGCUGCGGCCUCCGGGUAUUCAUUCUUUCCAGAAAGGCACCACAUGCGUAUUUCCGCCGUGGCCCCAGAUCCUCCCCGCACCGCCGUUUUGAGCGUUUACACUCAUUACCCCGGUCCGUCUGGGAGACCCGCCGGGCUCCUGCCCUCCUGGCCAAAAUUCUCCCGGGACACCCCACCUGGACUGCUGUGAACGGGCCUCCACCCGCCUCCCCGGACCCGCAGCACCCCCCGCUCCCUCAGCGUUCUGGGGUGAAGGGGUCUGAAUGGCACCAGGGGAGGCGGCAGGGCGGGCCUGUCCUACCUGCGCCCGAGCACUGCUGAGACAACAUCCCUUCCAGCGCCGCCACGUAGUCCAGCCCCAGCCAGUCGCGGUCCUGGAAGCACCGCAAUCAGACCUGCUUCUCACUGGGCUCAGGCAGGGUCACCCGCCCAGUGCCGCUUGCUGCAAAUUGCUUUACGUGCAGUGACCCAAAGAGCAAGCAAUUUCAGCGCCCCACGACUCUGAUUGGAAGUCCUAAGCUUGACAACUGAUUGGCCUCUGUCACCCAAGCGGGUGUGGGGACACUAGGCCCGCAGGUGCCACUGGAAGAGGCGUUCAGAAGCACUGCGGUGCUCCAGCUCCUGGAUGCAGAUAUCUCCCCACAAACCUAAACAAUUUCGAGAGGGACUUGUGUUCUGCAGCCAGUCACAGAAUAUCAGGUGAGCUGGGCGCUCCUCUCCGCCCUGCUUAGAAUCACUGGAAUGACCGUUCUGUGGCUACAGCCCUAAAAGAGCUACUAAAAAGACCAGAAGUAGUAUGAGAACUCAUGAAUACAAAUAUAAAUAAAAGACAUCUGGAGAACAUGCA
Molecule: non-coding RNA, 866 nt
Filed under: Pongo abelii (Sumatran orangutan)
Lineage: Eukaryota; Metazoa; Chordata; Mammalia; Primates; Hominidae
Source: RNAcentral